RNAcentral lists this non-coding RNA (46 nucleotides) under Trichobilharzia regenti. The record is from RNAcentral. Lineage: Eukaryota; Metazoa; Platyhelminthes; Trematoda; Strigeidida; Schistosomatidae.
AUACUGCUGAAGAGUCCCAGGCUAGGACGGAGCAGCUGUCCAGUAG